This 253-nucleotide ribosomal RNA is filed under the name uncultured bacterium. Its description in RNAcentral is "partial 16S ribosomal RNA". It matches the Rfam family "Bacterial small subunit ribosomal RNA", at positions 524 to 776 of the family's 1533-position model. The record is from RNAcentral.
UACGUAGGGUCCAAGCGUUAUCCGGAAUCACUGGGCGUAAAGCGUGCGUAGGUGGCGUGUUAAGUGUGAUGUUAAAUCGUGGGGCUCAACCCUGUCGGUGCAUCACAUACUGGCAUGCUAGAGGACGGCAGAGGCAAGUGGAAUUUGUAGUGUAGCAGUGAAAUGCGUAGAUAUUACAAGGAACACCAAUGGCGAAGGCAGCUUGCUGGGCCACUCCUGACACUGAGGUACGAAAGCGUGGGGAGCGAACAGG